Molecule: transfer RNA, 72 nt
Filed under: Bos taurus (domestic cattle)
Lineage: Eukaryota; Metazoa; Chordata; Mammalia; Artiodactyla; Bovidae
Also listed under: 5 other names
Rfam family: tRNA
About the family: Transfer RNA (tRNA) molecules are approximately 80 nucleotides in length. Their secondary structure includes four short double-helical elements and three loops (D, anti-codon, and T loops).
Source: Rfam by way of RNAcentral
UCCUUGGUGGCUCAGACAGUAAAGAAUCUGCCUGCAAAGCAGGAGAUCCAGGUUGGAAUCCUGGGUUGGGAA